RNAcentral lists this ribosomal RNA (253 nucleotides) under uncultured bacterium. RNAcentral's name for it is "partial 16S ribosomal RNA". It matches the Rfam family "Bacterial small subunit ribosomal RNA", at positions 524 to 776 of the family's 1533-position model. The record is from RNAcentral.
UACGUAGGGUGCGAGCGUUGUCCGGAAUUAUUGGGCGUAAAGAGCUCGUAGGCGGUUUGUCGCGUCUGGUGUGAAAAUCCAGGGCUUAACCCUGGACCUGCAUCGGGUACGGGCAGACUAGAGUGCGGUAGGGGAGAUCGGAAUUCCUGGUGUAGCGGUGAAAUGCGCAGAUAUCAGGAGGAACACCGGUGGCGAAGGCGGCGACCUGGGUAGAUACUGACGCUGAGGCGCGAAAGCGUGGGGAGCAAACAGG